This 462-nucleotide ribosomal RNA is filed under the name uncultured bacterium. RNAcentral's name for it is "bacterial SSU rRNA". It matches the Rfam family "Bacterial small subunit ribosomal RNA", at positions 338 to 795 of the family's 1533-position model. The record is from RNAcentral.
CCUANUGGUGGCAGCAGUUAAGAAUCUUGCGCAAUGGGCUCAAGCCUGACGCAGCGACGCCGCGUGGACGAUGAAGGUUCUUGGAUCAUAAAGUCCGAUAAGCAGGGAAGAAUAAGUCUUGAAUAAUACUUGGGAUGAUGACUGUACCUGCCUAAAGCCUCGGCUAACUACGUGCCAGCAGCCGCGGUAAUACGUAUGAGGCGAGCGUUGUUCGGAAUUAUUGGGCGUAAAGGGCGUGUAGGCGGGGGACUAAGUUAGGUGUGAAAGCCGUGGGCUCAACCCACGAAUUGCAUUUAAUACUGGUUCUCUUGAGUUCGGGAGAGGAGAGCGGAAUUCCCGGUGUAGCGGUGAAAUGCGUAGAUAUCGGGAAGAACACCAGUGGCGAAGGCGGCUCUCUGGACUAGAACUGACGCUAAGGCGCGAAAGCGUGGGGAGCAAACGGGAUUAGAUACCCCGNUANUC